RNAcentral lists this ribosomal RNA (507 nucleotides) under uncultured bacterium. RNAcentral's name for it is "partial 16S ribosomal RNA". The record is from RNAcentral.
GGAGUUAGCCGGUGCUUCUUCUGUGAGUGAUGUCCUUCCUGCCGGUUAUUGACCCGCAGGCCUUCUUCCUCACUGAAAGUGCUUUACAACCCGAAGGCCUUCUUCACACACGCGGCAUGGCUGGAUCAGGGUUGCCCCCAUUGUCCAAUAUUCCCCACUGCUGCCUCCCGUAGGAGUCUGGGCCGUGUCUCAGUCCCAGUGUGGCUGAUCAUCCUCUCAGACCAGCUACGGAUCGUCGCCUUGGUGAGCCGUUACCUCACCAACCAGCUAAUCCGACAUAGGCUCAUCCGAUAGCGCGAGGCCCGAAGGUCCCCCGCUUUCCCCCGUAGGGCGUAUGCGGUAUUAGCCUGGGUUUCCCCAGGUUAUCCCCCACUACCGGGCAGAUUCCUAUGCAUUACUCACCCGUCCGCCGCUCGCCACCAGGGAGCAAGCUCCCCGUGCUGCCGCUCGACUUGCAUGUGUUAGGCCUGCCGCCAGCGUUCAUCUGAGCCAGAAUACAACUACUGA